AAUUGUGACUGAUACAGGGCAAUUUGUUUAUAUAUGAUUGUGAAUGUGCAAUUGUGCACAUUGUGAGUGGUACUGGGCAGAUUUUUUAUAUAUGAUUGUGAAUGUGCAAUUGUGAAUUUGUGGCUGGUAUUGGACAGUUUGUUUAUAUAUGAUUAUGAAUUUGUUUAUAUAUGACUGUGAAUUUGUUUAUAUAUGUGACUGUGCAAUUGUGCACAUUGUGAGUAGUACUGGGCCAUUUUUUAUAUAUGAUUGUGAAUGUGCAAUUAUGAAUUUGUGACUUAUACUGGGCAGUUUGUUUAUAUAUGAUUAUGAAUUUGUUUAUAUAUGACUGUGAAUUUGUUUAUAUAUGUGACUGUGCAAGUGUGCACAUUGUGACUGGUUCUAGGCAAUUUGUUUAUAUAUGAUUGUGAAUGUGCAAUUGUGCACAUUGUGAGUGGUACUGGGCAGAUUGUGUAUAUAUGAUUGUGAACUUGUUUAUAUAUGACUGUGAAUUUAUUUAUAUAUAUGACUGGUACUGGGCAGUUUGUUUAUAUAUGACUCUGAAUUUGUUUAUAUAUGAUUGUGAAUUUGCGACUGGUACUAGGCAGUUUGUUUAUAUAUGAUUGUGAAUGUUUUAUGUUGAAUUGGAUGUUGUGGAGUUGCUUGGAGAGCCAUGACAGUUUUUUAU
RNAcentral lists this long non-coding RNA (667 nucleotides) under Ananas comosus (pineapple). Its description in RNAcentral is "long non-coding RNA (ACOM_LNC044525)". The record is from RNAcentral. Lineage: Eukaryota; Viridiplantae; Streptophyta; Magnoliopsida; Poales; Bromeliaceae.